UUAAAUCAUAUAAAGGCAAUCUUUAGGUGUGGGAUUCUAACUCUGAACCUCUCUGUAUCCAAAGCCAUUUUGAUUCUAAUUCUGAACCUCUCUAUAUCCAAUUCCCUUACUCUUGUCCAGAUACGGAUGCACCCUCACAAAUAGCUUUGGUAUGGAUUCUUAGUGGUGAAUUAUUUGUUAAGCUAUUUAUUAUUUUUUAUGUUGAUACACCAGGAUGUAGCUACCUUGGAGCAGCAACCAAGCUGCACAUUGUCCCUAGAAACAUCCCUUUCAAAGCAGAAUGUAUGCAAAGAAAAGGUGUGUUGAGGCUGCUAGAAUUAGGGGGAAAUAUCCAGAGAGGAUUCCUGUAAGCAUUUACUCUAACUGGUAGUCAUAUACUGGUUCUUCCCCCUCAUGCAACAACUAUGAGAGGUGGGUCCACAGUUAUAGACACCCAUUACUCUGUUUUGAAAUUUGCACAAUACACUGGAGCUCAUCCAAUUGCAGGGCGGCACACACCAGGAACCUUCAGGUUCUAUUUAUGAAUACAUGAUGCAUUUUGAAAAGGAUAAAGCAUUAGCUCAACGAUUCCAGCCUGUGUUGAUAAACGAGCUUAGCCAGUUGGAGAAACACCGGAGAGUUGAUCAGGAGCUGAAGAAGCGUGUAUUGAAGUUGGUAUUCUGUCUUCAAGAAGCUCGGUCCCAAACACGGAAGCUUUAAAGGAUCCAACUAAGCAUGCAUGUUUGGAUUGGGAAAGGUGAUACAAAAUCAUA
Molecule: long non-coding RNA, 752 nt
Organism: Magnolia sinica
Lineage: Eukaryota; Viridiplantae; Streptophyta; Magnoliopsida; Magnoliales; Magnoliaceae
Exons: 3
Source: RefSeq, a predicted model, not a curated record